GAUGAACGCUGGCGGCGUGCCUAAUACAUGCAAGUCGAGCGAACGGACGAGAAGCUUGCUUCUCUGAUGUUAGCGGCGGACGGGUGAGUAACACGUGGAUAACCUACCUAUAAGACUGGGAUAACUUCGGGAAACCGGAGCUAAUACCGGAUAAUAUUUUGAACCGCAUGGUUCAAAAGUGAAAGACGGUCUUGCUGUCACUUAUAGAUGGAUCCGCGCUGCAUUAGCUAGUUGGUAAGGUAACGGCUUACCAAGGCAACGAUGCAUAGCCGACCUGAGAGGGGGAUCGGCCACACUGGAACUGGGACACGGUCCGGACUCCUACGGGAGGCGGCGGUAGGGUAUCUUCGGCAAGGGGCGAAAGCCUGACGGAGCAACGCCGCGUGAGUGAGGAAGGUCUUCGGAUCGUAAAACUCUGUUAUUAGGGAAGAACAUAUGUGUAAGUAACUGUGCACAUCUUGACGGUACCUAAUCAGAAAGCCACGGCUAACUACGU
RNAcentral lists this ribosomal RNA (496 nucleotides) under uncultured bacterium. RNAcentral's name for it is "partial 16S ribosomal RNA". It matches the Rfam family "Bacterial small subunit ribosomal RNA", at positions 28 to 506 of the family's 1533-position model. The record is from RNAcentral.